RNAcentral lists this ribosomal RNA (630 nucleotides) under uncultured bacterium. RNAcentral's name for it is "bacterial SSU rRNA". It matches the Rfam family "Bacterial small subunit ribosomal RNA", at positions 233 to 863 of the family's 1533-position model. The record is from RNAcentral.
GCGUGACAUUAGCUAGAUGGUAGGGUAACGGCCUACCAUGGCUACGAUGUCUAGGGGUUCUGAGAGGAAGAUCCCCCACACUGGAACUGAGACACGGUCCAGACUCCUACGGGAGGCAGCAGUGAGGAAUAUUGGACAAUGGAUGGAAAUCUGAUCCAGCCAUGCCGCGUGCAGGAAGACUGCCCUAUGGGUUGUAAACUGCUUUUGUAUGGGAGCAAUAAGCCCUUCGUGAAGGGUGAUGAGAGUACCAUACGAAUAAGCAUCGGCUAACUCCGUGCCAGCAGCCGCGGUAAUACGGAGGAUGCAAGCGUUAUCCGGAUUUAUUGGGUUUAAAGGGUGCGUAGGCGGUUGGAUAAGUCAGCGGUGAAAGUUUUCUGCUUAACAGGAAAAAUGCCGUUGAUACUGUCUGGCUAGAAUAUGGUUGCUGUGAGUGGAAUGUGUGGUGUAGCGGUGAAAUGCUUAGAUAUCACACAGAAUAUCGAUUGCGAAGGCAGCUCACAAAGCCAUUAUUGACGCUGAGGCACGAAAGUGUGGGGAUCAAACAGGAUUAGAUACCCUGGUAGUCCACACUGUAAACGAUGAUAACUCGCUGUCGGCGAUACACAGUCGGUGGCCAAGCGAAAGCGAUAA